AUGACGCUAUGAGCUGGCGAUGCGCCUACACAUGCAAGUCGAGCGGUAACAGAAAGUAGCUUGCUACUUUGCUGACGAGCGGCGGACGGGUGAGUAAUGCUUGGGAACAUGCCUUGAGGUGGGGGACAACAGUUGGAAACGACUGCUAAUACCGCAUAAUGUCUACGGACCAAAGGGGGCUUCGGCUCUCGCCUUUAGAUUGGCCCAAGUGGGAUUAGCUAGUUGGUGAGGUAAUGGCUCACCAAGGCGACGAUCCCUAGCUGGUUUGAGAGGAUGAUCAGCCACACUGGGACUGAGACACGGCCCAGACUCCUACGGGAGGCAGCAGUGGGGAAUAUUGCACAAUGGGCGCAAGCCUGAUGCAGCCAUGCCGCGUGUGUGAAGAAGGCCUUCGGGUUGUAAAGCACUUUCAGUCAGGAGGAAAGGUUAGUAGUUAAUACCUGCUAGCUGUGACGUUACUGACAGAAGAAGCACCGGCUAACUCCGUGCCAGCAGCCGCGGUAAUACGGAGGGUGCGAGCGUUAAUCGGAAUUACUGGGCGUAAAGCGUACGCAGGCGGUUUGUUAAGCGAGAUGUGAAAGCCCCGGGCUCAACCUGGGAA
RNAcentral lists this ribosomal RNA (601 nucleotides) under Pseudoalteromonas sp. AC163. RNAcentral describes it as "bacterial SSU rRNA". It matches the Rfam family "Bacterial small subunit ribosomal RNA", at positions 19 to 620 of the family's 1533-position model. The record is from RNAcentral. Lineage: Bacteria; Pseudomonadati; Pseudomonadota; Gammaproteobacteria; Alteromonadales; Pseudoalteromonadaceae.